GACGAACGCUGGCGGCGUGCUUAAUGCAUGCAAGUCGAACGAAGAACCCACUAUGGGUAACCACUGUGGGAUUCUUAGUGGCGAACGGGUGAGUAACACGUGAGAAACCUGCCCCGGAGACCGGAACAGCCCAGGGAAACCUGGAUUAAUACCGGAUACCCUCCAAUGACCGCCUGGUCGCUGGAGGAAAUGGUCCGCCGCUCCGGGAUGGUCUCGCGGCCUAUCAGCUUGUUGGUGAGGUAACGGCUCACCAAGGCGAUGACGGGUAGCUGGUCUGAGAGGACGAUCAGCCACACUGGGACUGAGACACGGCCCAGACUCCUACGGGAGGCAGCAGCAGGGAAUUUUGCACAAUGGGCGCAAGCCUGAUGCAGCGACGCCGCGUGGGGGAUGAAUGCCUUCGGGUUGUAAACCCCUUUCAGGAGGGACGAAGCGAAAGUGACGGUACCUCCAGAAGAAGCCCCGGCCGACUACGUGCCAGCAGCCGCGGUAAUACGUAGGGGGCGAGCGUUGUCCGGAUUUAUUGGGCGUAAAGAGCUCGUAGGCGGCUCAGCAAGUCGGCCGUGAAAACCUGAGGCUCAACCUCAGGACGCCGGUCGAAACUGCUGUGGCUAGGGUCCGGUAGAGGAGAGUGGAAUUCCCGGUGUAGCGGUGAAAUGCGCAGAUAUCGGGAGGAACACCAGUAGCGAAGGCGGCUCUCUGGGCCGGCACCGACGCUGAGGAGCGAAAGCUAGGGGAGCAAACAGGAUUAGAUACCCUGGUAGUCCUAGCCGUAAACGAUGCUCGCUAGGGAUGGGGGAUUUAUUUUUCCGUCUCGUAAGCUAACGCGUUAAGCGAGCCGCCUGGGGAGUACGGUCGCAAGACUAAAACUCAAAGGAAUUGACGGGGACCUGCACAACCAGUGGAGCAUGUGGUUUAAUUCGAGACGAACCGAAGAACCUUACCUGGAUUUGACAUACUAGUUGCACAUCUCUAGAGAUAGAGACUCUUUCGAAGGUACUAGAACAGGUGCUGCAUGGCUGUCGUCAGCUCGUGUCGUGAGGUGUUCCCUUCAGUGGGGUAACGAGCGCAACCCCCGCCGUAUGUUGAAUAUUCAUACGGGACUGCCCGAGUCAUUCUCGGGAGGAAGGCGGGGACGACGUCAAGUCAGCAUGGCCCUUAUAUCCAGGGCUACACACAUGCUACAAUGGAGCCGACAAUGGGUCGCCAAGUGGUAACACGGAGCUAAUCCCAUCAAACGGCUUCUCAGUGGGGAUUGAGGGCUGCAAUUCGCCCUCAUGAACGUGGAAUUGGUAGUAAUCGCGGAUCAGCCAAGCCGCGGUGAAUACGUUCUCAGGUCUUGUACACACCGCCCGUCAAGUUAGUGAAGUUGGAAGCACCCGAACCUCGAUUGAAUCGGGGGAAGGUGAGACCAGCGACAAGAAUU
Molecule: ribosomal RNA, 1426 nt
Filed under: uncultured bacterium
Lineage: Bacteria
Description: bacterial SSU rRNA
Rfam family: Bacterial small subunit ribosomal RNA
Source: RNAcentral